UGGCCCAUUGGGCCAAUUGGUCCAUCAUCACCUCCACUGCAUUCUUUUGGCCAAAACAAGUCACAAAGUCAACCCAGACUUAAGAGGUCACAUCAAGAGGCCAUGCCCCGAGGUUGGGAAAUAAGCCUAACAAGCAGGUUCCACCAGAG
Molecule: long non-coding RNA, 149 nt
Organism: Prionailurus viverrinus (fishing cat)
Lineage: Eukaryota; Metazoa; Chordata; Mammalia; Carnivora; Felidae
Exons: 2
Source: RefSeq, a predicted model, not a curated record